Molecule: ribosomal RNA, 634 nt
Filed under: Pseudotomentella sp.
Lineage: Eukaryota; Fungi; Basidiomycota; Agaricomycetes; Thelephorales; Thelephoraceae
Description: partial small subunit ribosomal RNA
Rfam family: Bacterial small subunit ribosomal RNA
Source: RNAcentral
UUAGUCAAUGCUCGCAAGAGUGAACUAGCUAACUGAAAUCAUACUUGUGUCAAGUGUGAUAACGUAAGGGAAGAUAAUGACAUUACCUUACUAUUAGUGUUGUCCAAAACUGGUGCCAGAAGACUCGGUAAGGCCAGAGACGCGAACGUUAAUCGUCCUAAUCAGGCGUAAAGGGUGUGUAGGCAGCUUUAAAAUUUUUCUUAUUACUUAAAUUCUUUUAUAUAUUUAAAAGUCUAAAUUUAUUUAAUGUAGACUAAUUAAUUAAUAAUUUUUCAAUUUAUUAUUACGAAUUAAUUAAAGUAGAGAUAAAAUUAAUAAAAGCUAGAAUCAAAUAGAGGAUAUUUAAAUAAUAUUUAGAGGAGGGGUGAUAUCCUUAGAUACUAAAUAGAAUAUUAAUGGUGAAAGCUUUUAUCUAUUAAUGAUUGACGCUGAGAAACGAAGGUGAGGAUAGGAAAUAGGAUUAGAUACCCAGAUACCCCUCUCUGUCAACGAUGAAUGGUGGUUGCUAAUUAUAUAAAUUAAUUGGUGGCGAUGUUAACACGAUAACCAUUCCGCCAUGUGAGUACGACUGCAAAGUUGAAAACAAAAAAAUUAGUCGGUCUCGAAGCAAACGAAGUGAAGCAUGUUAUUUAAU